Molecule: non-coding RNA, 145 nt
Organism: Gossypium raimondii (Peruvian cotton)
Lineage: Eukaryota; Viridiplantae; Streptophyta; Magnoliopsida; Malvales; Malvaceae
Source: Rfam
UGUUAAAAAUUUCAUUCAUUUCGGCUAUUAAAAACUAGCAUGGCUAACGGAGUAACUAGACAAUUACACAUGACGUGUCGUGCGUACCUCAUUUUAGCUUACAAGAACCAGUUUUUAACAACAGAAAUGAACGGAACUUUUAACA